Molecule: ribosomal RNA, 530 nt
Filed under: uncultured bacterium
Lineage: Bacteria
Description: bacterial SSU rRNA
Rfam family: Bacterial small subunit ribosomal RNA
Source: RNAcentral
GGGCGCAAGCCUGAUCCAGCCAUGCCGCGUGCAGGAAGAAGCAUCUAUGGUGUGUAAACUGCUUUUGUACAGGAAGAAACACUCCCUCGUGAGGGAGCUUGACGGUACUGUAAGAAUAAGGAUCGGCUAACUCCGUGCCAGCAGCCGCGGUAAUACGGAGGAUCCAAGCGUUAUCCGGAAUCAUUGGGUUUAAAGGGUCCGUAGGCGGUUUAAUAAGUCAGUGGUGAAAUCUGGUCGCUCAACGAUCAAACGGCCAUUGAUACUGUUAGACUUGAAUUACUAGGAAGUAACUAGAAUAUGUAGUGUAGCGGUGAAAUGCUUAGAUAUUACAUGGAAUACCAAUUGCGAAGGCAGGUUACUACUAGUGGAUUGACGCUGAUGGACGAAAGCGUGGGGAGCGAACAGGAUUAGAUACCCUGGUAGUCCACGCCGUAAACGAUGGAUACUAGCUGUUGGGCGCAAGUUCAGUGGCUAAGCGAAAGUGAUAAGUAUCCCACCUGGGGAGUACGUUCCAAGAAUGAAACUCAAAG